GUGGUGCAUGAUGAAUGCUCUGGACUACUUGCUGGAGUCACGUUUGGCACCCGAAUCUCAUUCCAGGGAUCAUCAGACUUUUCACCUAAAUGUUUUGAAGAAGCUCGUGACCUACAGGAGACUUCAUUGUCAGUGUUAGGUGAUCCAAUGAAAUUCAACCUAAGCACUUUUGGUUGAGAAUUUUUCAUCUGAACAAUACUGCAUUCCAGUUGUUGUUGCAUACAUAUUCUGGCCUCUUUUUUCAUCCUCCUGAACAUGAGUCGUCAAAGGAGACUUCAUUGUCAGUGUUAGGCGAUCCAAUGAAAUUCAACCUAAGCACUUUCGGUUGAGAAUUUUUCAUCUGAACAAUACUGCAGUCCAGUUGUUGCUCCAUACAUAUUCUGGCCUCUUUUUUCAUCCUCCUGAACAUGAGAAGGAAACCAAGAGAAACUAAACACUUACAAUCUAAUCAGAUGCAAAACACAAAGUACUUAUGCAUGCAAACAUGAAAUAAGAUUUACACUGUAUUACUUAUCCA
Molecule: long non-coding RNA, 517 nt
Filed under: Nicotiana benthamiana
Lineage: Eukaryota; Viridiplantae; Streptophyta; Magnoliopsida; Solanales; Solanaceae
Description: long non-coding RNA (NBEN_LNC030049)
Source: RNAcentral